Molecule: ribosomal RNA, 1585 nt
Filed under: Williopsis vartiovaarae
Lineage: Eukaryota; Fungi; Ascomycota; Saccharomycetes; Phaffomycetales; Wickerhamomycetaceae
Description: SSU rRNA
Rfam family: Eukaryotic small subunit ribosomal RNA
Source: RNAcentral
UGCCGGCGAUGUGGUUCAUUUCAAAUUUCUGCAUAACAUCAACUGUCGAUGGUAGGAUAGUGGCCUACCAUGGUGAAUCGGACGCCGGGGAAUAAGGGUUCGAUUCUCAGAGAGGGAGCCUGAGAAACGGCUACACAUCCAAAGGAAGGCAGCACAGGCGCGACAAAUUACCCACAUCCUAAUUCAGGGAGGUAGUGACAAUAAAUAACGAUACAGGGCCCUAUUGUAGUCGUAAUUGGAAUGAGUAACUAUGUAAAUACCUUAAUCUAACGAGGAACAAUUGGAGGGCAGUCUGGUGCCAGCAGCCGCGUGUAAUUCCAGCUCCAAUAGCGUAUAUUAAAGUUGUUGCAGUCAAAAGCUCGUAGUUGAAACUUUUGGGCUUGGUAGCGAGUCUAUUCCAGUUUUGGCGUGUUUACUGUUUCCUACCGAGCCUUUCUCGUCUGAGACAACUAUUAUCCCUCGGGGGUAGCGAACCAGGACUUUACUUUGAAAAAAUUAGAGUGGUCUGGACGGCAGGCAUUUGCUCGAAUAUAUUAGCCAAUGGAAUAAUAGAAUAGGACGUUUGGUUCUAUUUUGUUGGUUUUCUACUAUAUCCCAUCGUAAUGAUUAAUAGGGACGGUCGGGGGCAUCAGUAUUCAGUUGUCAGCGAGGGUGAAAUUCUUGGAUUUACUGAAGACUAACUACUUGCGAAAGCAUUUGCCAAGGACGUUUUCAUUAAUUAAGAACGAAGUUAGGGAUCGAAGAUGAUCAGAUAAGCCGUCGUAGUCUUAACCAUAAACUAUGCCGACUAGGGAUCGGGUGUUGUUUUUAUAAUGACUCACUCGGCACCUUACGAGAAAGUCAAAGUCUUUGGGUACUUCUGGGGGGAGUAUGGUCGCAAGGCUGAAACUUAAAGGAAAUUGACGGAAGGGCACCACCAGGAGUGGAGAGCCUGCGGCUUAAUUUGACUCAACACGGGGAAACUGGUCAGGUCCAGACACAUAAGUCAAGGAUUGACAGAUUGAGAGCUCUUUCUUGAUUUGUGGGUGGGCGUGCAUGAGCCGUUCUGUAGUUGGUGGAGUGAUUUGUCUGCUUAAUUGCGAUAACGAACGAGACCUGAAUAGUGUGCACCUACUAAAUAGUGCGACUAGCUUUGCUGGUAUUGACAUUUCUUAGAGGGACUAUCCGAUUUCAAGUCGAUGGAAGUUUUGAGGCAAUAACAGGUCUGUGAUGCCCUUAGACGUUUGGUGAGUGCACGCGCGUCCAGAUACUGACGCCACUCAGCGAGAGUCUAACCUUACGGCCGAGGUCAUGGGUAAUCCUGUGAAACUCCCGUCGUGCUGGGGAUAGAGCAUUGCAAUUAUUGCUCUUCGAACGAGGAAUUCCUAAUGCACUUUCAAGUCAUCAGGAGCUUGCGUUGAUUACGUCCCUGCCCUUUGUAGACACCGCCCGUCGCUACUACCGAUUGAAUGGGCUUAGUGAGGCUUCAGGAUUGGCUUAGAUCAGGAGGCAACUCCAGAUUGGAGCCGAGAAUUUAGUCAAACUUGGUCAUUUAGAGGAAGUAAAAGUCGUAACAUACACGCUUCCGUAGGUGAACCUGCGGAAG